UCCGCCAUUACUGCGACUUGUUGUCUGAAACCGUGACUGAAGAUGGCAUCUCCCGCCUGUAUGAAGCUUUUCAGGAAGUGCCUUUGACAUCUGACAGGACCACAGGGUGCAUCCUCAGGAGACAUUACAAAUGGCUGCAGAAGCUUGGAAAUCUUGUGUCAGGUUCUGCAUUCGACUAGGGAACUGUGACCGACACAGAAGACCUCUUUGUCCUGCUAUGACAUCUAGAGGCUAACAGGAGCCAACUGAGCCCACCGCCGAUCACAUCUCUUGUGAGACGCCAAAGCAGCUGUUGCCUGGGAAGGAGGAG
Molecule: long non-coding RNA, 310 nt
Organism: Malaclemys terrapin pileata
Lineage: Eukaryota; Metazoa; Chordata; Testudines; Emydidae
Exons: 3
Source: RefSeq, a predicted model, not a curated record